GGACAGUCACGGUUACGCACACAGUUGGCAUAUUUUAUUAGUUUAUGUUUAAGUUUUCUAAUACCGGAUGUUAACAAAAUAUUCCAAGUUGCCACAUAACCGCGGGCACGGCUUUCCGAAAGAUUAAACCCUGCAGGGAUGCUCCAACUAGUCCAUCACAAACGAACACAGGCCGCAAAGUCAUCCUCUAUCACGAAUCUCGUGAUCUCGUCGGAUUCCUUAGAGGAAAAACCUCAACUCUGGGGAAAACCAAAGCUUCACCGGAAUUCCUAUACGCAAGAUAUACCGCUAAGGUAAGACAAGGCUAGCA
This 310-nucleotide long non-coding RNA is filed under the name Hordeum vulgare. RNAcentral describes it as "long non-coding RNA (HVUL_LNC013610)". Lineage: Eukaryota; Viridiplantae; Streptophyta; Magnoliopsida; Poales; Poaceae. The record is from RNAcentral.